UGGGGAAUAUUGCACAAUGGGCGAAAGCCUGAUGCAGCGACGCCGCGUGAGGGAUGACGGCCUUCGGGUUGUAAACCUCUUUCAGCAGGGAAGAAGCGAAAGUGACGGUACCUGCAGAAGAAGCGCCGGCUAACUACGUGCCAGCAGCCGCGGUAAUACGUAGGGCGCAAGCGUUGUCCGGAAUUAUUGGGCGUAAAGAGCUCGUAGGCGGUUAGUCGCGUCUGCUGUGAAAACUCGAGGCUCAACCUCGGGCUUGCAGUGGGUACGGGCUGACUAGAGUGCGGUAGGGGUGACUGGAAUUCCUGGUGUAGCGGUGGAAUGCGCAGAUAUCAGGAGGAACACCGAUGGCGAAGGCAGGUCACUGGGCCGCAACUGACGCUGAGGAGCGAAAGCAUGGGGAGCGAACAGGAUUAGAUACCCUGGUAGUCCAUGCCGUAAACGUUGGGCACUAGGUGUGGGGUCCAUUCCACGGAUUCCGUGCCGCAGCAAACGCAUUAAGUGCCCCGCCUGGGGAGUACGGCCGCAAGGCUAAAACUUAAAUG
RNAcentral lists this ribosomal RNA (542 nucleotides) under uncultured bacterium. RNAcentral describes it as "partial 16S ribosomal RNA". It matches the Rfam family "Bacterial small subunit ribosomal RNA", at positions 355 to 907 of the family's 1533-position model. The record is from RNAcentral.